UCCAUGUGUCUUCUUUUGUGAUUGGGUUA
RNAcentral lists this non-coding RNA (29 nucleotides) under Mus musculus (house mouse). The record is from RNAcentral. Lineage: Eukaryota; Metazoa; Chordata; Mammalia; Rodentia; Muridae.